Molecule: ribosomal RNA, 497 nt
Filed under: uncultured bacterium
Lineage: Bacteria
Description: partial 16S ribosomal RNA
Rfam family: Bacterial small subunit ribosomal RNA
Source: RNAcentral
GAUGAACGCUGGCGGCGUGCCUAAUACAUGCAAGUCGAGCGAACAGAUGAGGAGCUUGCUCCUCUGACGUUAGCGACGGACGGGUGAGUAACACGUGGAUAACCUACCUAUAAGACUGGGAUAACUUCGGGAAACCGGAGCUAAUACCGGAUAAUAUAUUGAACCGCAUGGUUCAAUAGUGAAAGACGGUUUUGCUGUCACUUAUAGAUGGAUCCGCGCCGCAUUAGCUAGUUGGUAAGGUAACGGCUUACCAAGGCAACGAUCCGUAGCCGACCUGAGAGGGUGCUCGGCCACACUGGAACUGAGACACGGUCCAUACUCCUACGGGAGGCAGCAGUAGGGAAUCUUCCGCAAUAGGCGAAAGCCUGACGGAGCAACGCCGCGUGAGUGAUGAAGGUCUUCGGAUCGUAAAACUCUGUUAUUAGGGAAGAACAAAUGUGUAAGUAACUAUGCACGUCUUGACGGUACCUAAUCAGAAAGCCACGGCUAACUACGUG